RNAcentral lists this ribosomal RNA (464 nucleotides) under Streptococcus sanguinis. RNAcentral's name for it is "bacterial SSU rRNA". It matches the Rfam family "Bacterial small subunit ribosomal RNA", at positions 28 to 474 of the family's 1533-position model. Lineage: Bacteria; Bacillati; Bacillota; Bacilli; Lactobacillales; Streptococcaceae. The record is from RNAcentral.
GACGAACGCUGGCGGCGUGCCUAAUACAUGCAAGUAGAACGCUGAAGAGAGGAGCUUGCUCUUCUUGGAUGAGUUGCGAACGGGUGAGUAACGCGUAGGUAACCUGCCUGGUAGCGGGGGAUAACUAUUGGAAACGAUAGCUAAUACCGCAUAAAAUUGAUUAUUGCAUGAUAAUUAAUUGAAAGAUGCAAUUGCAUCACUACCAGAUGGACCUGCGUUGUAUUAGCUAGUUGGUGAGGUAACGGCUCACCAAGGCGACGAUACAUAGCCGACCUGAGAGGGUGAUCGGCCACACUGGGACUGAGACACGGCCCAGACUCCUACGGGAGGCAGCAGUAGGGAAUCUUCGGCAAUGGGGGGAACCCUGACCGAGCAACGCCGCGUGAGUGAAGAAGGUUUUCGGAUCGUAAAGCUCUGUUGUAAGAGAAGAACGGGUGUGAGAGUGGAAAGUUCACACUGUGACG